UACGAAGGUGGCAAGCGUUGUUCGGAUUUACUGGGCGUACAGGGAGCGUAGGCGGUUGGGUAAGCCCUCCGUGAAAUCUCCGGGCCUAACCCGGAAAGUGCGGAGGGGACUGCUCGGCUAGAGGAUGGGAGAGGAGCGCGGAAUUCCCGGUGUAGCGGUGAAAUGCGUAGAGAUCGGGAGGAAGGCCGGUGGCGAAGGCGGCGCUCUGGAACAUAUCUGACGCUGAGGCUCGAAAGCGUGGGGAGCAAACAGG
RNAcentral lists this ribosomal RNA (253 nucleotides) under uncultured bacterium. RNAcentral describes it as "partial 16S ribosomal RNA". It matches the Rfam family "Bacterial small subunit ribosomal RNA", at positions 524 to 776 of the family's 1533-position model. The record is from RNAcentral.